GCGAUCAUACCAGCACUAAUGCACCGGAUCCCAUCAGAACUCCGAAGUUAAGCGUGCUUGGGCGAUAGGUGACCCCCUGGAAGUCCUCGUGUUGCACCU
This 99-nucleotide ribosomal RNA is filed under the name Zingiber officinale. The record is from RNAcentral. Lineage: Eukaryota; Viridiplantae; Streptophyta; Magnoliopsida; Zingiberales; Zingiberaceae.